UACGUAGGGAGCAAGCGUUGUUCGGAUUUACUGGGCGUAAAGGGCGCGUAGGCGGCGCGGUAAGUCACUUGUGAAAUCUCUGAGCUUAACUCAGAACGGCCAAGUGAUACUGCAGUGCUAGAGUGCAGAAAGGGCAAUCGGAAUUCUUGGUGUAGCGGUGAAAUGCGUAGAUAUCAAGAGGAACACCGGUGGCGAAGGCGGCAUCCUGGACCGGUAUUGACGCUGAGGAGCGAAAGCCAGGGGAGCAAACGGG
Molecule: ribosomal RNA, 253 nt
Filed under: uncultured bacterium
Lineage: Bacteria
Description: partial 16S ribosomal RNA
Rfam family: Bacterial small subunit ribosomal RNA
Source: RNAcentral